UUAUAUUUUUUGGGCUUUCUGCUCAUUCCCGUUAGCCGGCCCCAUAGACAGCAAGACCAAUCACAAAUCAUAGGGUUUGUGUUCUUCUUCCACAAUGAAUCUGUCCUUCGUUCUCUGAUACCAGCUAUGGAGUUUCGAGAUGUUUGAUUCACGUUAAGAAUCACUUUGUGGAUCUGCAAUGCUUUAGAUUUCUAGGGUUCAUCGUUUCAGUCCAUCUUCUUCCACCGACAGUGGAGCUCCAGCCAGUGACGAAUAUUGCCGGUCAUGGUGGAAGCCAUCGUCCGCGUCGAAUCAGUUGCAGUUCUUCUCCCCUGCUUUAGAAAGCUAGAAAGCUGGCACCGUUACGAAACUCCCCGCAAUCAAUCAUUGUCAUUAACCUUCUAAUUGACUCCAUCUCCUCACUCUUUCCACAAUUUCACAUUCAAUGCAUCCUCUCCCUUCUUCCAGUCGGUUAAUCUGCAGCUAUAAAUAUGUAUUUAAUCUGACGGAAGUGAAACCCCAUGAAUUUGUACGUUACGGUUUGCUGUGUUUGGAGACGUUUGCAGCGAACGGAGAUGAAUCCGCAAGAGAAUGAAGAGAAUUGAUCCAGAUCAUGGCCCAGAAGAAGCACAAGUAUGAUGGUGUGGAACCGUAGAGGCCGUACAAAGAAACGAUGAGGAAGAUAGAAAAAAGACAUGGAUAAAUCAAAGAAAUGGCUUUUGAUAAAAGUCUACUGUGCAUGGAGUUAUGUCAGAUGAUGUUGCUCGGUUUUUUAAUCUGCUCACCACUACUCAGUUUUGGGCUACCAUGGCUUAUCUCAGCCGAGAAUAUUGAAAAAGGCGAUGUUGGGCCAUCACGAAAAGUAUGGAGAAUGAGAUAGUAGUUGAAGCUUUUAUGAACUUCAGAACCCAUAAAAGGUAAUGAUCGAGGUUCAUCAUUUGUAACGGUGCAUCAAGUUCCUCCAUCUCUGAUCUCCCUAGCUGUUUCCAUUGGGACUUAAACAAGCCACUGAUUAUUGCUGACAAAGAGUUGGAGGCAAGGGAGUAAGACUAGGAAGUGAUGCAGCUCCUUAUGUGAGAAACAUACCAAUAUAAGUUUUAUUGACUGAGCACUUAUUGACUGAGCUCGCUUUCGUAUCAACGUAGUGGCGGUUUUUAUCAUCUACUUAUAUCUUACUUAGUGGCAGCCAAAACCGACAUGGAGGUUUUGUGAGAGGUGGUUAAGGCAGAGGCCAAGCUGGUGGUUAAGGCAAAGCUAUCUAGGGUAUCAGCCAAGCUGGUGGUUAAGGCAAAGCUAUCUAGGGUAUCAGCUGUAGUUGUAUAUCUACUUAGAUAGAGAGGACACAAAAGAGGAUAAAUACAAAACAGAGAUCUGCAGUACUUUGAUGAAUUAGAAGGUAGAUUUGAUGUGUAGUUUUCUCACAAACUGGAAACAUCAACAAACUACCUUUGUCUAAAUAUAAAAAGGCUUAACAGCAAGUAGGGUCCAAUCAUAUUUACUAAUACAUAAGCCCAUAUGUAGAAAGAGCAUACGAGUGUACACAAGGAUUUGAUCUAUGUGUUUAUGUAUACAGUAUUCUUUCUAGACCACGAUUCUUCUUUAA
This is a long non-coding RNA of Brassica napus (rape), 1582 nucleotides long. RefSeq lists it as uncharacterized. Lineage: Eukaryota; Viridiplantae; Streptophyta; Magnoliopsida; Brassicales; Brassicaceae. The record is from RefSeq and is a predicted model, not a curated record. The transcript has 6 exons.